This 224-nucleotide ribosomal RNA is filed under the name uncultured bacterium. RNAcentral describes it as "partial 16S rRNA". It matches the Rfam family "Bacterial small subunit ribosomal RNA", at positions 465 to 688 of the family's 1533-position model. The record is from RNAcentral.
ACAUUUACCGGUACUAUAUGAAUCAGCNCCGUCUAANUCAGUACCAGCAGUCACGNUAAUAAGGAGGGUGCAAUCGUUGUUCGGAUUUAUUGGGUUUUAAGUAUGCGUAGUCGGUUUAUUAAGUCAUUGAUGAAAGACGUUCNNUUAACGAUUGCAGUCCCAUUGAUAGUNAUAGANUAUAAUACAUUUGANGUANAUGUAAUGUAUAGUGUAGCGAUGAAAUG